Molecule: transfer RNA, 98 nt
Filed under: Moritella sp.
Lineage: Bacteria; Pseudomonadati; Pseudomonadota; Gammaproteobacteria; Alteromonadales; Moritellaceae
Description: tRNA-OTHER
Source: RNAcentral
GGAGCGGUAGUUCAGUUGGUUAGACUCUUUAUAAAAAGACAAGCGGCCUGUCUCGCCGGGUGUCGCGGGUUGUGGUUUAUAGAUAGCCGUCCGCUCUU